Long non-coding RNA from Papaver somniferum (opium poppy), 1395 nucleotides. RefSeq lists it as uncharacterized. The transcript is spliced from 8 exons. The record is from RefSeq and is a predicted model, not a curated record. NCBI's taxonomy places the organism in Eukaryota, Viridiplantae, Streptophyta, Magnoliopsida, Ranunculales, Papaveraceae.
CUCGUUUCAAAGGAAUGAGACGAAUACGGGUUCCUUCGUCGUCGUCGUCUUCAUCUACAAACUCAAGACCGAUAAUACCACUCCUGAUUUGUGUUGUAGUGAUAUUUACACUUGUGGUUCUGGAAAUUGAGACUUCAAAUUUCUCAGAUUACGAAAAGUAUUAUAUAAACCGAGUUGAGGUCAAGAUUCUGUCUGAUUUCCAAACUAAUGUUCAGCAAUGUAUUGGCCAGGCUAAUAGAGGACUUGGACUUACUGCACAUAUUAUUGACCACUGUAAAUUGGUCUUGAAAUAUCCUAAAGGCACAAACAGCAGUUGGCUGAUGAGGUGCUCAUAAUCAAAAGUGUGACCCAUAAAGACUUCAACGACAUGAUAAAGAAACUGUUAUUAACAGUAUCCCAAACUAUAACACUGAGCCUGAAUCAAAGAUAAAACGUUCUUCAAACAAAUAGCCUCAUCCUUGGUUUAAAGAAGGUCCAGUUGAAGAAGGCGGAAUGUUCUUCCUUAGUUUAAUUGAGCAUACCCUGCGUUUACCUCCUAAUCUCCUCAGCCUUCCUCUUCCUGAAGCUAUACGGGGAGAGCUAGAGAAACUAUUUGUGGACAAGGGAAAACCAUUUUCUUUCUCGAGUGUCUCUUCUGAUUUUCUGUAUUGUGUUUGUGGUGCUUGCUUGAUUUCAAAGAGCAGUAUGUAUUGAAUUAUAUCUAUUUUUGUGAAGGUUAUUGCACAGUUGGGUUUAUGCAUCUCCGUCUAUGACAUUAAAUCCAUUAAGGGCGGCUUCAUAUUUGCAGGAGAUGGUGCUUCAACCUAUACGGUUGAUUUUAGGCUAAUCAUGUUCCGUCCUUUUGAGGGUGAGAUUCUUUCUGGAAAGGUUGACGCAUCAGAUGCUAAUGGUUUACGAUUUUCUAAAUCCACAAUGGUGGCAGUGUCUGUAGGGUUUUCUAAAGACAUAUCCGUAGCCGUCCAUCUUUUGCCUAACCCAUCCAAGUUGUAAGUUCUUUAAAAGAUUCGUUUCCCAGUUCACAAAAUUUCAUAUCCUCCCAUCCCGCUUGAACAAGAAAAAGAUUCAAUGGCAUUUGCCCCAAUGGUGAUUACUGCAUCAAUCGGUUUUGAUGGUCUGGGUCCAAUUUCAUGGUGGGUGUAGUCGACAGCAAAAGUAGAGCCUUGGAAGAACUUAACAGCACAGAAGGUAAAGAUAAACUGAUUGGUAUUUUGUUUCAGCCAUUCCCAGGUUAUCUGAACAUGUAGCAGCAAUGACUAGUAGAUAUAUAAUGAUUAUCCCCUCCUAGUUAGGGACAGAACAAGAGAGAUUAAAUUUUGUUCAUUAAUUCCUUCAUUACCAGAGAGUAAAUGAAAUCGAGUUAUACUUGAAUAAAUUUGACUUGAGGCUUCUUUUUUC